RNAcentral lists this transfer RNA (69 nucleotides) under Ictidomys tridecemlineatus (thirteen-lined ground squirrel). Its description in RNAcentral is "Spermophilus tridecemlineatus (thirteen-lined ground squirrel) tRNA". It matches the Rfam family "tRNA". From Rfam's summary of the family: Transfer RNA (tRNA) molecules are approximately 80 nucleotides in length. Their secondary structure includes four short double-helical elements and three loops (D, anti-codon, and T loops). The record is from Rfam by way of RNAcentral. Lineage: Eukaryota; Metazoa; Chordata; Mammalia; Rodentia; Sciuridae.
GGGGCUGAGGCUCAGUGGUAGAGUUCUCAUCUCACAUGUGUGAAGUCCUGGGUUCGAUCCUCAGCACCA